Molecule: small nuclear RNA, 331 nt
Filed under: Erinaceus europaeus (western European hedgehog)
Lineage: Eukaryota; Metazoa; Chordata; Mammalia; Eulipotyphla; Erinaceidae
Description: 7SK RNA
Rfam family: 7SK RNA
About the family: 7SK was discovered as an abundant small nuclear RNA in the mid-70s but a possible function has only recently been suggested. Two independent studies have found that 7SK RNA binds the CDK9/cyclin T complex (known as elongation factor P-TEFb).
Source: Rfam by way of RNAcentral
GGAUGUGAGGGCGAUCUGGCUGCACCAUCUGUCACCCCAUUGAUAGCCAGGGUUGAUUCGGCUGAUCUGGCUGGCUAGGCAGGUGUCCCCUUCCUCCCUCACUGCUCCAUUGUGUCCUUCCCAAAGCUGCACGCUUGGUGGUCAAAGAGGAUGGCCUUCCCCCGAAUAGAGAUAGACUGGUCUUCGGUAGAGGCUAUAGGAGUAGCUGCUCUCCCCUGCCAGAACCUCCAAACAAGCUCUCUAGUGGAAAAAUCCAGAAGUAUGCAUGGAUUACCUCGUAAAAGAAACUCAAUUUUGAAAGUCUUAUUCACUAAGGAUUGAUUAGCUCUUC